GAUGAACGCUGGCGGCGUGCCUAAUACAUGCAAGUCGAGCGAACGGACGAGAAGCGUGCUUCUCUGAUGUUAGCGGCGGACGGGUGAGUAACACGUGGAUAACCUACCUAUAAGACUGGGAUAACUUCGGGAAACCGGAGCUAAUACCGGAUAAUAUUUUGAACCGCAUGGUUCAAAAGUGAAAGACGGUCUUGCUGUCACUUAUAGAUGGAUCCGCGCUGCAUUAGCUAGUUGGUAAGGUAACGGCUUACCAAGGCAACGAUGCAUAGCCGACCUGAGAGGGUGAUCGGCCACACUGGAACUGAGACACGGUCCAGACUCCUACGGGAGGCAGCAGUAGGGAAUCUUCCGCAAUGGGCGAAAGCCUGACGGAGCAACGCCGCGUGAGUGAUGAAGGUCUUCGGAUCGUAAAACUCUGUUAUUAGGGAAGAACAUAUGUGUAAGUAACUGUGCACAUCUUGACGGUACCUAAUCAGAAAGCCACGGCUAACUACGUG
This 497-nucleotide ribosomal RNA is filed under the name uncultured bacterium. RNAcentral's name for it is "partial 16S ribosomal RNA". It matches the Rfam family "Bacterial small subunit ribosomal RNA", at positions 28 to 507 of the family's 1533-position model. The record is from RNAcentral.